Long non-coding RNA from Felis catus (domestic cat), 7874 nucleotides. RefSeq lists it as uncharacterized. NCBI's taxonomy places the organism in Eukaryota, Metazoa, Chordata, Mammalia, Carnivora, Felidae. The transcript has 2 exons. The record is from RefSeq and is a predicted model, not a curated record.
AGAAACCAAGAAAUAGUUGUCGUCUGUUGGUGCCUGGGACCGGUGGCUGUGCUGGUCUGGAGCAGAGGCUGGCUACAUUGGGUCAGUCAGUCUUGCUCCAGUAAAUAAGCAGUUGCCAGGCACGGUGGGGUGGGGUUUGGUAUAAGCAUGUCCUGAUUCCCCUGGGGGCCACUGUCAAUCUCUCCUUCCUGGACUGGGGCUCUCAACCCACGCUAUUCAGCAGCUCUUCACAGAGUUGUGAGGAUGGUCAGCUUGCCCUGUGCCCCAAUUCUCCUGCAUCUUCGACUUGGCUCUUGGCUGGAAUUCAAAAACUAAUGUCUUCAAGGAUUGGUACCAUGUGGAUCCAAGAGUAGAGCCUCUCCACCUUGCUGAUGAAAAGCCUUUGGCUGGCAUCUGCAGGGUCUUUUGUCCUUGGGAAGCAAUAACCCCUCUUCCCAAAGCACUCUAGGAAGUUCUCUCCCAGUGUCCUCCAGAGAUCACUAUCCCUUGCUAUGCACUCUGGGGCCGGCUCCCUCCUUCCCAGAAGCACAGGCCAUGGCUCUGCUCUGGAGAAAGUUAAGCACUUUCAAAGCCUCUGAGUUUCAGCUCCAAAGGCUGAUUACAAAAAGAACCCACACUCUCUAUUUCUUGCUCCCCAUUCCGUAGUCCAGAGAGGUUUCCUCUUGUGCUAACUGGAAGCUGCCCUUUCACAGCCCCUCUCUCUGGUCCCUUUUGUCUCUGCACAGAAGGGGUUCCCUCCACUCCGUGGCUGUGCCAGCUUAUCUCCCCAAAUGACAUAUAUGUGCCUCAAUCCUGCCAGGCUGUCUCCUUCCAACUGUGGAGAUCAUUCUGCCGAUCCACCGAUCGAUUUCCUGAGUGUUGUAAGUAAUCUGACCUCAAUACAGCUGUAUUUGAGAGAAGGAACAUCCCAGUCCCCCUACUUCUCCACUGUCUUAACUCCUCCUGGAUGUAAUUCUUAGCUGUGUUCUGCUGUAGGUAGGAUGGUUUUUGCCCCUGACCUUCUUUCAGGAUUUUGUCUUAUUUUUUGAUAGUCUGCAGUUUGAAUAUGAUAUGCCUAGUGUAGUGUUUUGGGCAUUUAUUGAAUGCUUGGUGUUUUCUGAGAUAUCUGUUUGGUGUCUGACAUUAAUUUGGGGAGAUCCUCAGUUGUUAUUGUUCCCAUGUUUCUUCUGGUCCCCUCUCCUUCUGGUCUUCCCAUUACAUGUAUGUUACGUGUUUUGUAGUCCUCCUACAGAACUGGGUAUUCUGAUACUUUUUUUUCAGCCUUUGUUCUCUUUGCUUUUUGUUUUUGAUGAUUCUGUUAUAUAUUUUCUAGCUCAUAGAUUCUUUCUUCAGCUGUGUCCAGUCUACCAAUGAGUCUAUCAAAGACAUUUUUCAUUUCUGUUAUAGUGAUGUGUGUAUACAGCAUUUCUUUUGUGGUUCUUUCUUAGGAUUUCUACCUCUUUGCUUACAUUGCCCGCCUACCCCUGCAUGCUUUCUACUUCAUCCCUUAGGACCCGUAGCAUAUUAAUUAUAGUUGUUGUAAAUUCCUGUUCUGACAAUUCCAAUAUCCUUCCCUGUCUUGUUCUGAUGCUGCUCUGCAUCUUUAGAUUGUGUUUUUUGCCUUUUAGUAUGCCUUAUAACUUUUCUUGGUUGCUGAAAAUGAUGCAUCAGGUAAAAGGAACUGCAGUAAAUAGGCCUUUGGGGAUGUGGCGGUGAGGGGAGGGGGAGGGGAUGUAUUCCACAGCCUACUGUCAGGUCUUAGUCAUCAGUGGGCCUGUACCUCAGGACUGUGACUGUCACAAGGUUUUCUAAGCUCUCCCCCUCCCCCAGUUGGGACGGGUUGUCUAAAGGGGGCUGGAGUUGGUUAUUUCUCUUCCUGGGUCAGUGAAACUCUGGGUAAUGAGGUAUCGCUUAGGGCAGGUCCUUUUAAGAAAACAGUGCUCUGGUGUGUUUCACACGAUUUUUCCCCCUCCCCUUUUCCUUUUUUUUCUCUGAUAUUUACUGUGGGAAUCUGGCCAAGGCCCUGGAGUCCGACCUCACGACACUUCAGGGACACACCUGUGAGUAGGUGUGUUGCCUGUACUGCCCAGUUCAGGUUUCCUCCCCCUUCAGCUCGUGGGUCUGCUCCUGCAAGCCGGGCUCUGUGUCAGCCUGUCUGCCUCUCAGCCUUGGGGACACAACUUUCCCUCUGCCCUUCACUCUCUCGAGGAUCAAGAAUGGUGCAGAGGCCUUCUGGUUUGAGUUCUGCACGUAAGGGCCUAGGAGGUAACCACUUCCACCCAAAAGCAAGACAAAGCUGAACAGAGUGAAAAAGCAAACGGUUUGUCAAUUGUGUUGAUCUUUCUAAGACCCAACUUGGUUUUAUGGAUUUUCCCUAUUGUUUUUCUAUUCUUUAUGCAGUUUAUCUUUAAUCCAUAUUAUUUCUGUCUUUCUGCUAGCAUUGAUUUUAGUGUGUUCUUGUUUGUCUAGGUCCUUAAGGUAUAGAUAUAGGUUGCUGAUUUGAAGUCCUUUUUUUAUGGAAGUGUUUACAGCUAUAUAUUUCCCUCUGUAAUUAGUCUUUCAGUGUCCCAUAAGUUAUGGUAUGUGGUCUACUUUAUCUCUCUAUCUAUCUAUCUAUCUAUUUAAUUAUUUAUUUACUUAUUUUGGUGUCAAGAUAUUUUCUAAUCUCUCAGUGGUUUCUUUGACCCAUUGAUGGUUUAAUUUCCACAUACUUAUGGAUUUUCCGAUUAUCCUUCUGGUAUAGAUUUCUAGUUUCAUCACACAUAAUGAGAAAAGACACCCUGUAUGAUUUCAAACUACUUAAGUUGUAUGAUUUCACUAUUUUAAAAUUAUUCAGACUUAUUUUGUGAUGUAACAUGCAGUCUCUCUUCUUGAGAAAAAUGGGUAUUCUGCUAUUGUUGGGCAUGUUCUUGUGUCUGUUCUAUCCAACUGGCCCACAGUGUUGUUGAAGGUCCUCUGCUUCCUUAUUGAUGGACUGUCUGGUUGUUCUUCCCUUUACUGAAAGUGAGGUAUUGGCGACGACAAUGACUAUUGCUAGAUCGGUGCGUUUCUCCCUUGAACUCUGCCAAUGUUUGCUUCAUAUGUAUAGGAACUCUGAUGAUAGUGCAUAUGGCUAUGCAUAAUGUUAUAUCUUCUUGGCCAGUUGACUCUUGUAUCAUUCUAGAAUGUUCUCCUCUGUCUCUUAUAACAAUAUUUGACAUAGUGCCUAUGUUGUCACUUAUUAGUAUAGCCGCACUUGCUCUCCCUGGGGCACUAUUUGCCCCAGGUGUCUUUUCACCAUGCUUUCACUGUCAGUCUGUAUGUCCUUAGAUCUGAUGUGAGUUUCUUGCGGACAACGUGGAGCUGGAUCCAUUAGAUUGUGAAGUUUCACCCAUUUACACUGAAGUGAUCCCUGAUAGGGAGGACUUACCACAGCUGCUUUGUUCAUUGUGUUUCUGUAUGUCUUCUCACUUUUCUGGCCUUCCCUUCCUGUCUUACUGCCCUCCUUUGUAUUUACCUGACAUUUUUUGUAGUGACAUGCCAUAAUGCCCUUUUGUUUCCUUUUGUGUUGAUCUUACACACAAUUAUUGUGUGUGUGCUUACCACGGGCAUUACAUAAAAUAUCUUAAAGUUACAACAACCAAAACAAUAUCAGCUCCCGUUGGCCGUCCAUGGGGAAAAAUGCUCUGGCAUCUGCUUUAAUUCUCAGACCUGCAGUUUCCUCAACAUUUGUGGGUAACUCCCAUGCCUUGGGUUAUGGAAGGUUCAAGGAAAGUGGUAUCCUCGAGACAUGGAAGGAAAAUGAGCUCCUGGAGUGUAGUGAGGAAAAGUGAAUGCCUGAGGGUGGUACUGAGGAAGGACUAUUUCACGGAGAAGAGCACCACCCACGGGGAGCACUGUCCCUGGAGAAGAGCACCACCCAGGGAGAGCACUGUCCCUGGGGCAUGGUCUGCUCAGGCAGCUAGAAUUAGACAAGGCAUGCAUGGGGCAGGGCAUCAACGUGGCUUGGGAGCUGCUGCAAAUUAGCACAGGUACUAGAGAGUUACUUUAUAAGAAGCAUACAACUUGCUCUCAGGACAGAUUUAGUAACAACUAAAAUAUAUCGUUAAUUGGAGAGGAGGGCUGUGAGGUUGUGCAAGGGUGAACUAAGAGGAAGCAGAUGAUCUGUGUCCUCACUGGCCCAGAGCAGAGCCGACCCACUUCAAGGUGCUGCAGCCCCACUGGGGAAGGAGUCCCGUUAUCCCCAAGAAACUGGGGGAAAAUGACUGGACAGGCCCGAUUCAGAAAUCACAAGUGUUCCCACUGGGAGUGAGGCCAUCCGCUGGGGGGAUUUCCUGCCUCAGAGAUGAUCAUGUACGAAAACGAAGGAUUUUGAUUAGAUGUAGCAUGCUCCAUCAAAGGACCAGGGAGGAGUGAGAGUGAGAAAGACUCUGUGUGUGUUGUAAGUGCACAAGCAUUUGCGUGUUGUGUGUGUGAGAGAGAGAGAUGAACCAGGCAUGUACGUGUGUAGGACAUGAAGCACAUACUGUGUGGCAUGCAGGCGUCUGUACAGAUGUUGUGAUGGGAAGCAGGGGUGUGUGCAGGUGGGAGUGUGGGGCCAGGCUGAUGGGCCAGGUGCUGUCUAAAGGCUCCUGACAAUUGGACCCAGGUGGAGUCUUGAGCCUUUGGCUCUUACCUGCAUGGCCUUGGAGACCCGAGCUGCAGUGUGGUAGAAGUCGAUUGGUGACCCCGGAGAGCCCGGAUGGGAGUGGGUCACAGAAGACCGCCACAUGGGAGGUGGACCCACCAGGCCAUUGUGGCCUGAGGACCCAUUGGGGCCAGCUGACCCUGGGCCCUCAUGCAAUCCCUGGCUUACCUGCCAACUUAUGCAUGUGAAUUUUCUGCUGACACUUUCCCAAGGGAAGGGCCUAUGGACUUUCCCUAGCUACUAGUGAUUUCUCUUAGGGACUGUGGUCUGAAGUGAGGCUAACCGGCUGGCAUUGUGCUGUCCACGCUGGGCACACCAGGCAUUCCUGGCACACAUGCUUCGCUUUGACUGGGGUCAGUUAUGACCUGAUGUGAUUUCUCAGGAGUCCAGACAUCCUGGCUCAGGACUCCCAUCUGAAGGAAGCUUUCCGCAGCUGAAGCAGAACCGCCGGGUGCUCAAGCCGCUGGCGGAAGGUCUGGAACGGAGCUCCGGGGACCGGGGCCGCGCAGACGGAGCGGGCUUCAUCUCCUCCUCCGACCCAGGGACGUGCCCACGACGGAGCGCUCUCAGCCAGCUUGCCGGGUCCUCCAACUCUAUCAUGGUGCAGAGCGGGGCGAGGGGCUCAGGGUCAGCCUGCCGCCUCCUGUGGGCGGUCCCCGGGCGCCCUCCCGGUCCGGGCGGGGCCUCCUGCGCCCCCGUCGAGAGUCGCGGUUCAUCCAUGUCCUGUGGGAGAGAAAAGGAGACGCGCUCAAAGUCGUCCGCAGCAGGCUGUGGAGGCAGGUGCUAAGUGUCCCGCCGCUUAAAUUGCUUGGCUCGGGACCACUUCCUAGCACAGCAACGUGUUGGUGCAAGUGAGAGCGGGUUAGGAAACCAGCACCGACCGCGCCGCUUUACUCAACAGAGGUACACGCACCCCUCCGAAUUCCCUCGCACCCUCGACACUGGACGCCGAGCACCCCGGGCCCCCGUGGACCCCUGUCCCAUUCUGCCGGCACCUCCCGCGGCAGGAGCCGCGCGGCGCACCUGCACCUGCCAGGCUCGCCUCAGCUUCCAGCACACGCCAGCGGAUGGGGCCGUCAGCCGCGGUUUUGCAAAUCCUCUCAGAGUCCUUGACGGUUCUUUCUGCCAAGCGCAAAUAUUGAUCUAUAGUCCACUUGUAUUUGCAGAGUGCGCACGGGUCAGGGCAGAGGACGCCCCCACCGCGGCCUUGAGAGAGCAGCCCUGUCCACGUGCCCAGGUCCCAGGCGCAGAAACACGGAACUGUCUCUAAGUUUCCGUGUGAGGUCCCUAAAUCAUGCCAACGCUUUUUUUUUUUUUUUUUUUUUUUUUUUUUUUUUUUUUUUUUUUUAGCGGGGCAGAAGAUGAAAAGCAGGGAAUUUCUGUUGUGGAAAGAAAAGUAAACUUGUUCCAAAACAGAUGUACUGGAGUUAUUUUACAGGGCAAUGGAUAUGGCGACAUCACCCAAAGUCAAGUGGGGGAAAAGAGGAACCGAGGGCGGAGGCUGGACCACACUGUGACCUCCACACAGCACCGAGGCCCCGCUGGGCGGGACACUGCUCUCCUGACCGGAAUCGCCAACAAGUCCCACCUGAGGGCAGCAGGGGAGGUCGCUACACAGUUUCCUCUGUGUGAGCCCAGUGCGGUUCACCUGCCUGGGGAGGGAAGGAGGGAAGUAACACCACUCCCUCCUCUCCCUGAACUUCUGACCAGUGUCCACAUAAGCGGUGGUCAGGGGGCCUCAAAGUCUGUCCCUGGCAGGCACCUGAGGACAGUGAUGCCCGCCUGCCCCCCCUGCUGCUGCCAAGUGCCUUUGGGGAGAAGUUUGCCAUCAAGGGCGGCCUCCUGCAUCUGCACUGACCCAGGAAAGAGAGCAGGGCCCAGGUUUCCUGGAAAACAUACUUAGUUCUGCUUCUUGGGAUGAAGGGAUAGGCCUGAGGCCAAUGGUCCAGUCUACCUAGUGCAGGGGCAGCCUUCCAGAGGAGCACCUCCAUUAGCUGUGCAGCUGCCUCGCUUCAAACCCAUGCUUCCAAAUUCACUAAUGGUGUAGCCCUGAGCAAGCUACUGGAUCACUCUCUGCCUCUGUUGGACAUCUGUGAAAGGACAAUAGCAGCUGCCUGCCAGAAUUAUUGUGUGAUCAAUGAGAGGAUUGAGAAAAACUCUGAACACGGUCCACAAAGACAACAUGGAGGCUCCUGGGAGCCACACUCUGUUUUGUGCCCUGAAGAUUUCCCUUUUGGUUAGAAUGGUAUUUGGCACAGAGUAGGGACCUGAUACAUACCUGUUGAAUAAAUGACCAGUAUUCCCCUUUUCCUCUGGUUUAAGCAGGCACCUGCUUCAGCUGGAGUCAGAGCACCUCCAGAAAGCCCAACUUGGAGAAGCUCUAAUUGCCGGUGCCACACGGCAAGGAACUGCCGUAAGAUUUCCCAUUGUACAGAGUGGCUUUUGAUGAACCAGUACAAGGUUGGAGAGCACCUUUCAAGGACAGAGCCUUGGACUGUUACUCUGUACCAGGGCCCCAUGAGUGUGUUCUCACACUGUGGGCUCCAAGGUUCCAUGUGCACAAGUACCGUUCACAUAGAGACACUCUAUUAUUUUGAAAGCAUUUCAGAUGCCAUCCUCACUUGGACUCCAGAGGUGGACGACACUUCAGUAAAAAGAGGGGGGCUUCAGGACAACCCCUGAUAUUAUCCCAUAAUGCAUGCUGUCUGAUGGGAGCCAGUUCCUGCCAACCCAGACUCAGCAUCAUUCGUUGUCUGUGUGUGUCGGUGGUCAACAGCGGGGGCUGGGCUGCUGCAGGGGACUGGAGCCAGCCCCUGAUGCACAGCCAAAGGGCAGGCAGGAGCUGAGUCCUGAGGUUUCUUCACAAGAUGCUGGAGCUGCUCUGUUGAAAGCAUCUUUUCAAGGAAUAUCUAUCUAUUAAUCACCUAGCUAUGAAGAAAAUCCAGAAAGGGGCACCUGGGUGGCUCAGUGGGUUAAGCGUCCAAGUCUUGAUUUUGGCUCAGGUCAUGAUCUCAAGGUUCAUGAGUUCCAGCCCCAUGUCAGGCUAUGUGCUGACAUCCCAGAGCCCGCUAGGGAUUCUCUGUUUCCCUCUAGUUGUGGUCUUCCCAUGCUCUCUGUCUCAAAAUAAAUACACAUAAAAUAAAACAAAGAAAAUCCAGAAAGCUAUUCCAACAAAUCUGUGCUAAGCAAUACAGCAAAAACAGAAGCUAUUAAAAAAAAGAUAGACAUA